UCGCGGCUUAUCACCGGCAGUCCCCUUAGAGUGCCCAACUGAAUGAUGGCAACUAAGGGCGAGGGUUGCGCUCGUUGCGGGACUUAACCCAACAUCUCACGACACGAGCUGACGACAGCCAUGCAGCACCUCUAUGGCGGCCCCCGAAGGGGAAACACUGUUUCCAGCGCGGUCCACCACAGUUCAAGCCCAGGUAAGGUUCUUCGCGUUGCGUCGAAUUAAACCACAUGCUCCACCGCUUGUGCGGGCCCCCGUCAAUUCCUUUGAGUUUCAGCCUUGCGGCCGUACUCCCCAGGCGGGGCACUUAAUGCGUUAGCGCCGGCCCUCACGGGGUCGCUCCCCCAAGGACCUAGUGCCCAUCGUUUACGGCGUGGACUAC
This 379-nucleotide unclassified non-coding RNA is filed under the name uncultured bacterium. RNAcentral describes it as "contains 16S-23S intergenic spacer region". The record is from RNAcentral.